This 764-nucleotide ribosomal RNA is filed under the name uncultured Bacteroidales bacterium. RNAcentral's name for it is "bacterial SSU rRNA". It matches the Rfam family "Bacterial small subunit ribosomal RNA", at positions 28 to 782 of the family's 1533-position model. The record is from RNAcentral. Lineage: Bacteria; Pseudomonadati; Bacteroidota; Bacteroidia; Bacteroidales.
GAUGAACGCUAGCUACAGGCUUAACACAUGCAAGUCGAGGGGCAGCAUGAACUUAGCUUGCUAAGUUUGAUGGCGACCGGCGCACGGGUGAGUAACACGUAUCCAACCUGCCGAUGACUCGGGGAUAGCCUUUCGAAAGAAAGAUUAAUACCCGAUGGCAUAGUUCUUCCGCAUGGUAGAACUAUUAAAGAAUUUCGGUCAUCGAUGGGGAUGCGUUCCAUUAGGUUGUUGGCGGGGUAACGGCCCACCAAGCCUUCGAUGGAUAGGGGUUCUGAGAGGAAGGUCCCCCACAUUGGAACUGAGACACGGUCCAAACUCCUACGGGAGGCAGCAGUGAGGAAUAUUGGUCAAUGGACGAGAGUCUGAACCAGCCAAGUAGCGUGAAGGAUGACUGCCCUAUGGGUUGUAAACUUCUUUUAUACGGGAAUAAAGUGAGGCACGUGUGCCUUUUUGUAUGUACCGUAUGAAUAAGGAUCGGCUAACUCCGUGCCAGCAGCCGCGGUAAUACGGAGGAUCCGAGCGUUAUCCGGAUUUAUUGGGUUUAAAGGGAGCGUAGGCGGACGCUUAAGUCAGUUGUGAAAGUUUGCGGCUCAACCGUAAAAUUGCAGUUGAUACUGGGUGUCUUGAGUACAGUAGAGGCAGGCGGAAUUCGUGGUGUAGCGGUGAAAUGCUUAGAUAUCACGAAGAACUCCGAUUGCGAAGGCAGCCUGCUGGACUGUAACUGACGCUGAUGCUCGAAAGUGUGGGUAUCAAACAGGAUUAGA